UGUAGAGGUUAGGAGGCACAGUAUUAGGAAAUAUUAGUCAUAUACAUAAUAUAGGGAGCUUUUACUUUUUAAUUUCUGCAGUGGUUUUACUAACAAGGAGUUAUAUGACUAGAUGUUUCAAUUGAGAAGUCAUCUAUAUAAUCUCUUAAAAUCCUAAUACAUGGGGAAGAAUUUGUGACUUCUCCAGGAGAAUGAGGAGGAGGAAUAAGGCCUUUUAAUCUUCUAGAUUAUCAGACCUGUUGGGAAUUCUGAAUGAUUGUUUACUUUCAACUUAUUAUUUAUUGGAGCAAUUGCCCUUGAAAUGAGCUUGGUAAAAGCAAGUGGACCAAGAGGAUGUGGCUUUAGACAUCAUUGCUGGAGAGAAAGUUGAGAGCUAUUUUGGG
RNAcentral lists this long non-coding RNA (383 nucleotides) under Bos taurus (domestic cattle). RNAcentral's name for it is "long non-coding RNA NONBTAT018156". The record is from RNAcentral. Lineage: Eukaryota; Metazoa; Chordata; Mammalia; Artiodactyla; Bovidae.